This 351-nucleotide long non-coding RNA is filed under the name Brassica napus (rape). Its description in RNAcentral is "long non-coding RNA (BNAP_LNC014237)". Lineage: Eukaryota; Viridiplantae; Streptophyta; Magnoliopsida; Brassicales; Brassicaceae. The record is from RNAcentral.
UUGAGCCCAUACCGGAGUAGGUUUUUGGGCUCACCCUGACCGUGGUUCUCCCAUGCUUCCAACAAAUAUACUCUCUUCUUCCCAGUGGAGAAAUGUUCCCAUAUAUGUCCGGGAAGAAUCUCCGGCAACUCCGAGUUCAAGUCUUCUUUUGUGGAUACAAAACCUAAAUCUAUAAACUCUUUUGUCUCCUCACCUUCUAAAUCGGACACACACUCUCUUCUCUCACUCCUUCUUCCUCUGCUCUGUUGAUAGUGAUCUUCCCUCCUUCAACAUGCUCCUCUGGUUCCCCGUGCCUCCAACAAAUUUUCUGACCUCUCGCUUAUUUACAUCUUUCGAUACCUCAAGAAUGUA